AGGUGAAACUGCGGAAAGAUCUUACCGAGUGUAGGGUUCCUAGCGAGCCCAACCUCCCACCCGUGUUUAGAGAAACGUAAUUGCUCUGGCGGGCCCGCCAUUUAUGGCCACCGGGGGCUCUCAGCCCCGGGCCCGCGCCCGCCGGAGACACCACGAACUCUGUCUGAUCUAGUGAAGUCUGAGUUGAUUGUAUCGCAAUCAGUUAAAACUUUCAACAAUGGAUCUCUUGGUUCCGGCAUCGAUGAAGAACGCAGCGAAAUGCGAUAACUAGUGUGAAUUGCAGAAUUCCGUGAAUCAUCGAGUCUUUGAACGCACAUUGCGCCCCCUGGUAUUCCGGGGGGCAUGCCUGUCCGAGCGUCAUUGCUGCCCAUCAAGCACGGCUUGUGUGUUGGGUCGUCGUCCCCUCUCCGGGGGGGACGGGCCCCAAAGGCAGCGGCGGCACCGCGUACGAUCCUCGAGCGUAUGGGGCUUUGUCACCCGCUUCGUCUGCCCGCCGGCGCUUGCCGAACGCAAAUCAAUCUUUUUCCAGGUUGACCUCGGAUCAGGUAGG
RNAcentral lists this ribosomal RNA (550 nucleotides) under fungal sp. P2N7. RNAcentral's name for it is "eukaryotic LSU rRNA". The stretch from base 207 to 360 matches the Rfam family "5.8S ribosomal RNA". The record is from RNAcentral. Lineage: Eukaryota; Fungi.